AACGCACAUUGCGCCUAUUAGUAUUCUAGUAGGCAUGCCUGUUCGAGCGUCAUUAAGUCCACAUUAAGCCUUGUUGCUUAGCGUUGGGAAUUUAUAGAGAUAUAAUUCCUCAAACUUAGUGGCAGAAGUGGAUCACACUCUGAGCGCAGUAAUUUUUAUCUCGCUUUUGUAGUUGGCCUGCUUUUCGCCGUUAAACACCUUUUUUUUGGUUGACCUCGGAUCAGGUAGGAAUACCCGCUGAACUUAA
RNAcentral lists this unclassified non-coding RNA (247 nucleotides) under uncultured Xylariales. RNAcentral describes it as "sequence contains 5.8S rRNA gene, ITS2, 28S rRNA gene". The record is from RNAcentral. Lineage: Eukaryota; Fungi; Ascomycota; Sordariomycetes; Xylariales.